Non-coding RNA from Kogia breviceps (pygmy sperm whale), 72 nucleotides. The record is from the annotation of a RefSeq genome assembly. Lineage: Eukaryota; Metazoa; Chordata; Mammalia; Artiodactyla; Physeteridae.
GGGGGUGUAGCUCAGGGGUAGAGCAUUUGACUGCAGAUUAAGAGGUCCCUGGCUCAAAUCUAGGUACCCCCA